CGGGACGGGUGAGUAAUGUCUGGGAAACUGCCCGAUGGAGGGGGAUAACUACUGGAAACGGUAGCUAAUACCGCAUAACGUCGCAAGACCAAAGAGGGGGACCUUCGGGCCUCUUGCCAUCGGAUGUGCCCAGAUGGGAUUAGCUAGUAGGUGGGGUAAUGGCUCACCUAGGCGACGAUCCCUAGCUGGUCUGAGAGGAUGAUCAGCCACACUGGAACUGAGACACGGUCCAG
RNAcentral lists this ribosomal RNA (233 nucleotides) under uncultured bacterium. RNAcentral describes it as "partial 16S ribosomal RNA". It matches the Rfam family "Bacterial small subunit ribosomal RNA", at positions 100 to 334 of the family's 1533-position model. The record is from RNAcentral.